Molecule: ribosomal RNA, 490 nt
Filed under: uncultured bacterium
Lineage: Bacteria
Description: partial 16S ribosomal RNA
Rfam family: Bacterial small subunit ribosomal RNA
Source: RNAcentral
AGUGAACGCUGGCGGUAGGCCUAACACAUGCAAGUCGAACGGCAGCACAGUAAGAGCUUGCUCUUACGGGUGGCGAGUGGCGGAUGGGUGAGGAAUACAUCGGAAUCUACUUUUUCGUGGGGAUAACGUUGGGAAACUUACGCUAAUACCGCAUACGACCUACGGGUGAAAGCAGGGGAUCUUCGGACCUUGCGCGAUUGAAUGAGCCGAUGUCGGAUUCGCUAGUUGGCGGGGUAAAGGCCCACCAAGGCGACGGUCCGUAGCUGGUCUGAGAGGAUGAUCAGCCACACUGGAACUGAGACACGGUCCAGACUCCUACGGGAGGCAGCAGUGGGGAAUAUUGGACAAUGGGCGGAAGCCUGAUCCAGCCAUACCGCGUGGGUGAAGAAGGCCUUCGGGUUGUAAAGCCCUUUUGUUGGGAAAGAAAAGCAGCAGGUUAAUACCCCGCUGUUCUGACGGUACCCAAAGAAUAAGCACCGGCUAACUUCGU